RNAcentral lists this ribosomal RNA (774 nucleotides) under uncultured Neocallimastigales. RNAcentral's name for it is "partial large subunit ribosomal RNA". It matches the Rfam family "Eukaryotic large subunit ribosomal RNA", at positions 20 to 644 of the family's 3401-position model. The record is from RNAcentral. Lineage: Eukaryota; Fungi; Neocallimastigomycota; Neocallimastigomycetes; Neocallimastigales.
UACUAGAGUAGCACUCGCAUAUCAAUAAGCGGAGGAAAAGAGACUAACAAGGAUUCCCUUAGUAACGGCGAGUGAAGCGGGAAGAGCUCAAAUUUGAAAUCUUCAAGGUUCUACCUUGACGAAUUGUAGUUUAAAGAAGUGUUUUCUGUUGGAGUUUUGGUAAAAGUUCUUUGGAAUAGGACAUCAUAGAGGGUGAGAAUCCCGUAUUUGACCAUUAUUUCCAGCUGUGUGAUACACUUUCAAAGAGUCGGAUUGUUUGGGAAUGCAGUCCAAAAUGGGUGGUAAAUUUCAUCUAAAGCUAAAUAUUGGCGAGAGACCGAUAGCGAACAAGUACCGUGAGGGAAAGAUGAAAAGAACUUUGAAAAGAGAGUUAAACAGUACGUGAAAUUGUCAAAAGGGAAGCGUUUGACACCAGUGUUGUUUAGUUGAAAAUCAAUUCAAUAGUUUUUGAUUCUAAGUAGUAUUGACUUCAUCAGCUUGCUGCUUUCUUCUCAGAAAUUAUUGAAUGCACUUUUCAGUUAACAAGUCAACAUCAAUUUCUUUUGUUGUAAAAGGGUAAGAGGAAGGUGGCUUGCGCUUCGGCUCAAGUGUUUAUAGCCUUUUAUCUCUGCAAUCGGAGAGAUUGAGGUCUGCAGCGUAGAUCCUUCGGGGUUAGAUACAUUGGUGCUAAGCUAUAGCCUUGUAUAGACAACUUGUUGACUAUGCUCAGUCAUGAAGCUUACUCGCUGAUGCUAUUUUACCUACGCUUAGGAUGUUGAAGAUAUGCGCGACACG